GAAAUGGCCACUACGACCUACCCCCUUGGUCUAUCAGUAUUCUUCCUGACUGCAAAACUGAGGUUUUCAACACUGCAAAGGUAACACAAGACUUCAAAUAUGAUUUUGAAUGAACUCGAUUUUAUAAAAUUGAUUUUGUUAAAAUUAAGUUUGAAGUGAAGUUAUUUAUUAUGUAUAGAUUUUUUUACACUAAAACGAUCUAACACGAAAGCUUCUUCACCAUUUCUACUUAAAUAGAAGUUUAGAGGCAAAAAUAAACUUUACCUGAUACUAACCAAACAACUGUAUUUUCCUGAAAUCACAUUUAACAAAGUCAAAGUCAAUUAUGAUAGUUUCGACAGUGAAACCAAACACAUUCAUUUCUUCAAAAAACUGGAAAAUUCUACUCUAACUGUUCUAGAAGGACAGACAAAGAUUAUAUAUUCUUUUAUCAUAAACUGUUUACAUUUACCAUGUCAUGUUUUUUUUUAAGUGCGAACAUUUGCAAUCAUUUUCCAAUUUUAUCCAGGUUC
RNAcentral lists this long non-coding RNA (512 nucleotides) under Medicago truncatula (barrel medic). Its description in RNAcentral is "long non-coding RNA (MTRU_LNC008314)". Lineage: Eukaryota; Viridiplantae; Streptophyta; Magnoliopsida; Fabales; Fabaceae. The record is from RNAcentral.